UUAGAGUUUGGAUCCUGGCUCAGAUUGAACGCUGGCGGCAGGCCUAACACAUGCAAGUCGAGCGGAUGAAGGGAGCUUGCUCCUGGAUUCAGCGGCGGACGGGUGAGUAAUGCCUAGGAAUCUGCCUGGUAGUGGGGGAUAACGUCCGGAAACGGGCGCUAAUACCGCAUACGUCCUGAGGGAGAAAGUGGGGGAUCUUCGGACCUCACGCUAUCAGAUGAGCCUAGGUCGGAUUAGCUAGUUGGUGGGGUAAAGGCCUACCAAGGCGACGAUCCGUAACUGGUCUGAGAGGAUGAUCAGUCACACUGGAACUGAGACACGGUCCAGACUCCUACGGGAGGCAGCAGUGGGGAAUAUUGGACAAUGGGCGAAAGCCUGAUCCAGCCAUGCCGCGUGUGUGAAGAAGGUCUUCGGAUUGUAAAGCACUUUAAGUUGGGAGGAAGGGCAGUAAGUUAAUACCUUGCU
This 465-nucleotide ribosomal RNA is filed under the name Pseudomonas aeruginosa. Its description in RNAcentral is "bacterial SSU rRNA". It matches the Rfam family "Bacterial small subunit ribosomal RNA", at positions 1 to 469 of the family's 1533-position model. The record is from RNAcentral. Lineage: Bacteria; Pseudomonadati; Pseudomonadota; Gammaproteobacteria; Pseudomonadales; Pseudomonadaceae.